RNAcentral lists this ribosomal RNA (719 nucleotides) under uncultured Eubacteriales bacterium. RNAcentral's name for it is "bacterial SSU rRNA". It matches the Rfam family "Bacterial small subunit ribosomal RNA", at positions 61 to 780 of the family's 1533-position model. Lineage: Bacteria; Bacillati; Bacillota; Clostridia; Eubacteriales. The record is from RNAcentral.
GUCGAGCGAUGAAACUUUAACAGAACCCUUCGGGGCGAAGAUAAAGUGGAUUAGCGGCGGACGGGUGAGUAACACGUGAGUAACCUGCCUUAGACAUUGGGAUAGCCUCGGGAAACCGGGAUUAAUACCAAAUAAAAUCAUAAUGACACAUGUCAUAACGAUCAAAACUCCGGUGGUCUAAGAUGGACUCGCGUCCCAUUAGCUAGUUGGUAGAGUAAAAGCCUACCAAGGCGACGAUGGGUAGCCGGCCUGAGAGGGUGAACGGCCACAUUGGAACUGAGAAACGGUCCAAACUCCUACGGGAGGCAGCAGUGGGGAAUAUUGCACAAUUGAGGGAACUCUGAUGCAGCGACGCCGUGUGAACGAAGAAGGCUUUCGAGUCGUAAAGUUCUUUUAUAUGGGAAGAUAAUGACGGUACCAUAAGAAAAAGCCCCGGCUAACUACGUGCCAGCAGCCGCGGUAAUACGUAGGGGGCUAGCGUUGUCCGGAAUCACUGGGCGUAAAGGGUUCGCAGGCGGAAAUGCAAGUCAGAUGUAAAAGGCAGUAGCUUAACUACUGUAAGCAUUUGAAACUGCAUAUCUUGAGAAGAGUAGAGGUAAGUGGAAUUUUUAGUGUAGCGGUGAAAUGCGUAGAUAUUAAAAAGAAUACCGGUGGCGAAGGCGACUUACUGGGCUCAUUCUGACGCUGAGGAACGAAAGCGUGGGUAGCAAACAGGAUUA